Molecule: unclassified non-coding RNA, 226 nt
Filed under: Westerdykella dispersa
Lineage: Eukaryota; Fungi; Ascomycota; Dothideomycetes; Pleosporales; Sporormiaceae
Description: partial internal transcribed spacer region
Rfam family: Eukaryotic small subunit ribosomal RNA (bases 1-46)
Source: RNAcentral
AAGUCGUAACAAGGUUUCCGUAGGUGAACCUGCGGAAGGAUCAUUAUCGUAGAGCUUCGGCUCUUUCGAGGGAGAACCCUUGCCUUUUCGAGCACCUGUUUGUUUCCUCGGCAGGCCCGCCUGCCAAUGGGGACCUUUUUAAACCCUUGCGAUAACCUGAACAAAAAUCGUCUGAACAAAAAAAAAAUCUAAAUCAAAACUUUCAACAACGGAUCUCUUGGUUCUG